RNAcentral lists this long non-coding RNA (1350 nucleotides) under Homo sapiens (human). Its description in RNAcentral is "HSALNT0278686". Lineage: Eukaryota; Metazoa; Chordata; Mammalia; Primates; Hominidae. The record is from RNAcentral.
CAGUGUCCUGUGGUGCAACCUCCCAGCCACACUGUCCCCGUGGCCCAUCCUCCCAGCCACACAGUGUCCUGUGGUCCUUCCUCCUCUCCCACCCUAUGUCAUGCGCAGAGAUAAAAUGCAGCUGCCAAACCACCCUGCAAGGUGUGCGUCCACCAAGACCCACUCUCCCAGCGCUGGGCACCCACUUCGCACUGCAGUGAGCAUCGGGGACCUGUGUGAGAAUGUCUGGGGCGAGAUGUUGUUAGGAGAGGAACUGCUGCAUCUCAGUCCUGCACUUCCUUCAUCUUACUAACACACCUAGAGACCCUUCCCAAGGGCCACCCAGCCCACCCUCCCAGCAGAGUGAGGGAGGUCUCCUGUAUUACAUCAUGUAACUGUGACAUCACCGAGCUUUCAGACUUCUGCCAGCCUAAAUGUGUAAAGUGAACCUUCAUUGUGAUUUUAAUUUGAUUUCUCACAUUACCAGUGCUUUUGAGUGUCUUCUCUUCUGCUUGUUAAUGUCUUGGAUAUCCUCUUCUGUAAAUUCAUACCCUUUGCUCUGUUUUCUUUUCAUUUUUUUGAGAUGGAGUCUCGCUCUGUCGUCCAGGCUGGAGUUCAGCGGCACAAUCUCGGCUUACUGCAACCUCCACUUCCCAGGUUCAAGCGAUUUUCCUGCCUCAGCCUCCCGAGUAGCUAGGACAACAGGCACAAGCCACCAUGCCUGGCCAAUUUUUGUGUUUUUAGUAGAGAUGGUAUUUCACCAUGUUGGCCAGGCUGGUCUUGAACUCCUGACCUCAGGCGAUUCAUCCGCUUUGGCCUCCCAAAGUGCUGGGAUUACAGGCAUGAGCCACUGCGUCCAGCCCCUUUGCUCUGUUUUCUGUAGAACUGCUGUAUUUUCUUAUUAAGCUACACCUUUUUGAAAUGGAUUUAAUUGUUCUUUUGACUUUGCCAUUUUAAAAAUAUUUUAAGCCGGGCAUGGUGGCUCAUGCCUUUUAUUCCAACACUUUGGAGGUGGAGGCAGUAGGACUGCUUGAGCCCAGGAGUUCGAGACCAGCUUGGGCAACAUAAGGAGACCCCCGUCUUUAAAAAUAAUUUAAAAAAUUAGCCAGGCAUGCUGCCACACACCUGUAGUCCCAGCUGGGAGCCUGAGGCAGGAGGAUCACCUGAGCCUAGGAGGUGGAGGUUGCAGUGAGAUGUGAUUGUGCCACUGCAGUCUAGUCUGGGUCACAGAGACCCCAUCUUAAAGUAAAUAAAUAAAAUUAUUUUGUCAUAUAUACAUUGUUUCUAAUCUCAAAAUCAUUUUAUAGGCUGUUACAGCUCAUAGGGCCUGUGGCACAGUGCUAGAGAUAUCACUAAUAAAAUGUAUUUGAC